AGUGAACGCUGGCGGUAGGCCUAACACAUGCAAGUCGAACGGCAGCACAGUAAGAGCUUGCUCUUACGGGUGGCGAGUGGCGGACGGGUGAGGAAUACAUCGGAAUCUACUUUUUCGUGGGGGAUAACGUAGGGAAACUUACGCUAAUACCGCAUACGACCUACGGGUGAAAGCAGGGGAUCUUCGGACCUUGCGCGAUUGAAUGAGCCGAUGUCGGAUUAGCUAGUUGGCGGGGUAAAGGCCCACCAAGGCGACGAUCCGUAGCUGGACUGAGAGGAUGAUCAGCCACACUGGAACUGAGACACGGUCCAGACUCCUACGGGAGGCAGCAGUGGGGAAUUUUGGACAAUGGGCGCAAGCCUGAUCCAGCCAUACCGCGUGGGUGAAGAAGGCCUUCGGGUUGUAAAGCCCUUUUGUUGGGAAAGAAGAGCAGCAGGUUAAUACCCCGCUGUUCUGACGGUACCCAAAGAAUAAGCACCGGCUAACUUCGUG
RNAcentral lists this ribosomal RNA (492 nucleotides) under uncultured bacterium. RNAcentral describes it as "partial 16S ribosomal RNA". It matches the Rfam family "Bacterial small subunit ribosomal RNA", at positions 29 to 507 of the family's 1533-position model. The record is from RNAcentral.